CGAGAUGUGGCUCAGUUUGGUAGAGCGCUUGGUUCGGGACCAAGAGGCCGUGGGUUCGAAUCCCGCCAUCUCGACCA
This 77-nucleotide transfer RNA is filed under the name Clostridia bacterium. RNAcentral's name for it is "tRNA-Pro". It matches the Rfam family "tRNA". From Rfam's summary of the family: Transfer RNA (tRNA) molecules are approximately 80 nucleotides in length. Their secondary structure includes four short double-helical elements and three loops (D, anti-codon, and T loops). Further hydrogen bonds mediate the characteristic L-shaped molecular structure. tRNAs have two regions of fundamental functional importance: the anti-codon, which is responsible for specific mRNA codon recognition, and the 3' end, to which the tRNAs corresponding amino acid is attached (by aminoacyl-tRNA synthetases). tRNAs cope with the degeneracy of the genetic code in two manners: having more than one tRNA (with a specific anti-codon) for a particular amino acid; and 'wobble' base-pairing, i.e. permitting non-standard base-pairing at the 3rd anti-codon position. The record is from RNAcentral. Lineage: Bacteria; Bacillati; Bacillota; Clostridia. RNAcentral also lists the same sequence under 1 other name.